AGUGAACGCUGGCGGUAGGCUUAAUACAUGCAAGUCGAACGGCAGCACAGGAGAGCUUGCUCUCUGGGUGGCGAGUGGCGGACGGGUGAGGAAUACAUCGGAAUCUACUUUUUCGUGGGGGAUAACGUAGGGAAACUUACGCUAAUACCGCAUACGACCUACGGGUGAAAGCAGGGGACCUUCGGGCCUUGCGCGAUUGAAUGAGCCGAUGUCGGAUUAGCUAGUUGGCGGGGUAAAGGCCCACCAAGGCGACGAUCCGUAGCUGGUCUGAGAGGAUGAUCAGCCACACUGGAACUGAGACACGGUCCAGACUCCUACGGGAGGCAGCAGUGGGGAAUAUUGGACAAUGGGCGCAAGCCUGAUCCAGCCAUACCGCGUGGGUGAAGAAGGCCUUCGGGUUGUAAAGCCCUUUUGUUGGGAAAGAAAUCCAGCUGGCUAAUACCCGGUUGGGAUGACGGUACCCAAAGAAUAAGCACCGGCUAACUUCGUGCCAGCCGCCGCGGUAA
RNAcentral lists this ribosomal RNA (506 nucleotides) under uncultured bacterium. RNAcentral describes it as "partial 16S ribosomal RNA". It matches the Rfam family "Bacterial small subunit ribosomal RNA", at positions 29 to 523 of the family's 1533-position model. The record is from RNAcentral.